Molecule: ribosomal RNA, 519 nt
Filed under: uncultured bacterium
Lineage: Bacteria
Description: partial 16S ribosomal RNA
Rfam family: Bacterial small subunit ribosomal RNA
Source: RNAcentral
AACAAACGCUGGCGGCGUGCCUAACACAUGCAAGUCGUACGAGAAAGGGUCCUUCGGGGCCUGAGUACAGUGGCGCACGGGUGAGUAACACGUGGAUAAUCUGCCCUUCAGCGAGGAAUAACCCAUCGAAAGGUGGGCUAAUACCUCAUAACGCUGCGAUACCCCGGGAUGGCAGCCAAAGAUAGCCUCUGCUUGCAAGCUUUCACUGAAGGAGGAGUUCGCGUCCCAUUAGCUGGUUGGUGGGGUAAUGGCCUACCAAGGGGACGAUGGUUGGCGGGUCGGCGAGUGUGACCAGCCAGACUGGACCUGAGAGAGCGUCCCGAAUCCUACGGGAGGCAGCAGUCAGGAAUCUUGCGCAAUGGGGGAAACCCCGACGGAGCAACGCCGCGUGAGUGGGGAAGGUAUUCGGAUCGUAAAGCUCUGUCGGGUAGAAAGAUGUGGGGAAAGGUGAACAGCCUUUCUCCUUGACGGUACCACCGCAGGAAGCACCGGCUAACUCCGAGCCAGCAGCCGCAGUAA